This is a non-coding RNA of Pogona vitticeps (central bearded dragon), 296 nucleotides long. Lineage: Eukaryota; Metazoa; Chordata; Lepidosauria; Squamata; Agamidae. The record is from RefSeq and is a predicted model, not a curated record.
GCUUAUUGAAAAUGUCAGUAUAUUUCACUCCGCUGAAUUUCUUGUGUGCAGGAUGGCAAGGAACACAAAACAGGCCUUCAAAUCUCUACCUAAGAAUGCUUAACAGCAUUUGAUUGUGAACCACAUACUGUUGACCAUUGGAUUCAGCUCAUUUUGAUCAAGAGCUCAGGAGAGCUUUACUUUUUUGAACUGUUUAUUCACCCAUAUCAGAACCCAAGGAUGAAGGGUGCAAAAUCUAUUGAAGCCAGGCCUUUUUGCAUGUGUAGCUCUCUUGCUUUGCACACAAGUUUAUUUGA